Molecule: long non-coding RNA, 538 nt
Filed under: Junco hyemalis (dark-eyed junco)
Lineage: Eukaryota; Metazoa; Chordata; Aves; Passeriformes; Passerellidae
Description: lncRNA (ENSJHYG00000014366.1)
Source: RNAcentral
GUGGGGCAGGACAGGCCUGGGAAGAUAAGGAGCACAGGGUUGAGAAGAGAGAACGGAAGCUCCAAUCCUCCAUUUUAUAAAAUAAGGUUCGUCAUUGCACAUCUCCAAGUUCAAAAUGAAGGUCAGACUGGAAAGGUGAGAAACAUAAGAGUUCUACAGCACAUACUCCAAAAAACCCCCAAGGUUAUAGCUCUGAGCUCUCCUCCUGAGUAUCAUUCUGAUCCACAGCUUGCAGAGAUGUCAGCUUUGUAGUACAAGCAGGAAGAGACAGCAUAGCAACAAAAACACAACAGCGUCUGAGUAAUGGUUCUAAUGAAGAAGAGGGCAACAAGAAGACUUCAGCUACUGGCAACAGAAGAGGAAAACAGUGCAGUCAAGGAGCUUCUUAGCUCUGAGAAUUUGAACUUUCUUUUUUUCUGAAUGAACUGAAACUUCUAAACCCCUAUUGAAGCCUAUCAGUAUGUCAUAAGUUACUAAAAAUAAGUCAGUCAUCGAAACCUAUAAUAAAUGAAAUGUUUUCACUAAGGAUAUUAUAUGU